CGGAAAGACCCCGUGGACCUUUACUAUAGGCUCCUAUUGACCACGAGCAUAUUCUGCGUAGCAUAGGUGGGAGGCUUUGAAGCCUGGGUUCUGGCCCAGGAUUAGCCAAAGGUGAAAUACCACCCUGAGUAAGUUUGUGGUCUAACCUCGUUUCCCGUGAAUCCGGGCGAGGGACAGUUGGUGUCGGGUAGUUUGACUGGGGCGGUCUCCUCCAAAAGAGUAACGGAGGAGCACAAAGUUCGGCUCAGCACGGAUGGAAACCGUGUGUCGAGUGUAAGAGCACAAGCCGGAUUUACUGCGAGACCGACGGGUCGAGCAGUUACGAAAGUAGGUUCUAGUGAUCCUGCGAUCCCGUGUGGAAGGGUCGUAGCUCAACGGAUAAAAGGUACCCCGGGGAUAACAGGCUGAUCGCUCCCGAGCGU
Molecule: ribosomal RNA, 422 nt
Filed under: uncultured bacterium
Lineage: Bacteria
Description: bacterial LSU rRNA
Rfam family: Bacterial large subunit ribosomal RNA
Source: RNAcentral